Molecule: non-coding RNA, 1456 nt
Organism: Nicotiana tabacum (common tobacco)
Lineage: Eukaryota; Viridiplantae; Streptophyta; Magnoliopsida; Solanales; Solanaceae
Source: RefSeq, a predicted model, not a curated record
ACAAUGCACACGCAGAUGAGGAAACAGAACCUCUUAAUAUACAUGUUCUCCACUAAUCCUACUACUCCCAGCCUUCUAGAAGAGAAUCUUUCUCUUGCUCCCACCUUGUGAAGGUAGAGAAGAUGUUUUCAAUAGACCCUUGGCUGUUUCUAUAAACAUAAAAGGGGUUAAAAUUUAAGAGUCUUCGACCGAUUUAAUUAAGAUCUAGACUGGUCGAUUUAUCUUUGAGGUUAAAACUACUAACUAAACAUGAAAGCUGCAUGCAAAAUUUUAAGUAAUUUUUUAGGUGAUGAAGGUCAUUUGUUAAGCAAGUGGUAAAUUUUCUUUCUCAAAAGCAUCCUCUUAUAAAGAAGAGUUAAAAGUUUCUUCUGAAUGUUUUAUAUGUUUUUCAAACUAAGGUUAAAUUCUAAGCAAUUGUAUUUUUUUUUUUGCCAAUGCCAGGUAUCCAAAAGAUCACUGCCCAUCUCAUUUGGAUGCUAAACUUUUUGGAGUGGCGAUUGUCAUAGAGAAAUGUUUUGGGUCUGUUGAGGACAAUCAGUAUUGCACUACUAUAUGUGAAGCUUUGAGGAGGCAUUUGAAUUUACGGGCUUAUCUUGAGCGCUUGCAUACCCUACUGAUCCUACCAUUGGAGUAUCAGUGUCACAAUUAUGGUGCUGCGAUUAUGGAUAAUCCUAAUUUCAUCAAUGAUUGUCUUUCACCAUCAAGACUCUGCAAAAAGCAGCGGUGAUCUUUAUCUGUAUAGCAGUAAAAGCGGCCAAAAUCCAUUAGGCUUGGAUGGCGAAUAUUUGUUGAAGGUCUCCACUGACUUUGAGAGGGAGCUCUCAAUGGGGAAACAAAAUCUAUUCAAAUCUGUCUUGAGGCUUGUGGGGUAUGGCAGAUUUUGGGGCGACGAUGGGAGAGAAAGGGCAUUCUUGGUUUUUCCGCUAAAGAAGAAGGGGGAUCUACAGAGAAAUAUCAAAGGUAUUUUUCAUUCUGUGUCUAUUAUCUUUAAUCAAAUAGGAUUACCUGAUGCUCGUGUUCACCAUCAAACUAUAGUAGCUGGUAGCUGAAAAAAAAAAGGAACAUUCAUAUCCUCACCACUUUUUGACAUAUUCUGUGUAAUUUAAUUUACAACAGUACCAAUAUGGUGCCAAAAACUUUCGGGCCAUACAUUAUUUUGCUUGUUCUAGAGAACCUGUCAUACUACUGGUAUGUAAAUAUAUUUUCCCUUUACAUGAAAAGUACAGGGGACGCUUCCCAAUUACUACAUGAAAAAUGGCUAUUAGCAAGGAAAAUGCAGUUCCUAAAAGCUUGAUUCUGGUCCCUAAUAGUCAUACCGACAAGAUAAAUCUACUCUCCAUUGGGGGCGUCCACUAGAUCUUCUUCGAUUUGAUUUUGUAUUAUUUUGAUUUUGUUUUUCAGAUUUUCGUUAUGAAAAAUUUAUCCAAUCCACACAAAAUAAAUUUGGUUUGGUUCA